Molecule: long non-coding RNA, 524 nt
Organism: Mytilus californianus (California mussel)
Lineage: Eukaryota; Metazoa; Mollusca; Bivalvia; Mytilida; Mytilidae
Exons: 3
Source: RefSeq, a predicted model, not a curated record
CUUCCAUACACCGAAUAUACUAGACCUAUUGCUUAUAGUAUCUGAGAUAUGGACUUGACCACCAAAACUUAACCUUGUUCAUUGAUCCAUGAAAUGAGGUCGAGGUCAAGUGAAAACUGUCUGACGGGCAUGAGGACCUUGCAAGGUACGCACAUACCAAAUAUAGUUGAACUAUUGCACAUAGUAUUAGAAAAAAAGACCAAAACUCAAAAACUUAACUUUGACCACUGAACCAUGAAAAUGAGGUCAAGGUCAGAUGACACCUGCCCGCUAGACAUGUACACCUUACAAUCAUUCCAUACACCAAAUAUAGUAGACCUAUGGCAUACAGUAUAAGAAAAACAGACCAAAACACAAAAACUUAACUAUAACCACUGAACCAUGAAAAUGAGGCCAAGGUCAGAUGACACCUGCCAGUUGGACAUGUACACCUUACAGUCCUUCCAUACACCGAAUAUACUAGACCUAUUGCUUAUAGUAUCUGAGAUAUGGACUUGACCACCAAAACUUAACCUUGUUCACUG